This 85-nucleotide transfer RNA is filed under the name Felis catus (domestic cat). It matches the Rfam family "tRNA". From Rfam's summary of the family: Transfer RNA (tRNA) molecules are approximately 80 nucleotides in length. Their secondary structure includes four short double-helical elements and three loops (D, anti-codon, and T loops). Lineage: Eukaryota; Metazoa; Chordata; Mammalia; Carnivora; Felidae. The record is from Rfam by way of RNAcentral. RNAcentral also lists the same sequence under 6 other names.
ACCUGGGUGGCUCAGUCGGUUGAGCGUCCGACUUCGGCUCAGGUCAUGAUCUCACAGUUUGUGGGUUCGAGCCCCGCAUCAGGCU